This 253-nucleotide ribosomal RNA is filed under the name uncultured bacterium. RNAcentral's name for it is "partial 16S ribosomal RNA". It matches the Rfam family "Bacterial small subunit ribosomal RNA", at positions 524 to 776 of the family's 1533-position model. The record is from RNAcentral.
UACGAAGGGUGCAAGCGUUAAUCGGAAUUACUGGGCGUAAAGGGUGCGUAGGCGGUUCGUUAAGUCUGUCGUGAAAUCCCCGGGCUCAACCUGGGAAUGGCGAUGGAUACUGGCGAGCUAGAGUGUGUCAGAGGAUGGUGGAAUUCCCGGUGUAGCGGUGAAAUGCGUGGAGAUCGGGAGGAACAUCAGUGGCGAAGGCGGCCAUCUGGGACAACACUGACGCUGAAGAACGAAAGCGUGGGGAGCAAACAGG